RNAcentral lists this ribosomal RNA (616 nucleotides) under uncultured bacterium. RNAcentral describes it as "bacterial SSU rRNA". It matches the Rfam family "Bacterial small subunit ribosomal RNA", at positions 62 to 693 of the family's 1533-position model. The record is from RNAcentral.
UUGAAGGAAGUUUUCGGAUGGAAUUCGAUUGACUGAGUGGCGGACGGGUGAGUAACGCGUGGAUAACCUGCCUCACACUGGGGGAUAACAGUUAGAAAUGACUGCUAAUACCGCAUAAGCGCACAGUACCGCAUGGUACGGUGUGAAAAACUCCGGUGGUGUGAAAUGGAUCCGCGUCUGAUUAGCCAGUUGGCGGGGUAACGGCCCACCAAAGCGACGAUCAGUAGCCGACCUGAGAGGGUGACCGGCCACAUUGGGACUGAGACACGGCCCAAACUCCUACGGGAGGCAGCAGUGGGGAAUAUUGCACAAUGGGCGAAAGCCUGAUGCAGCGACGCCGCGUGAGUGAAGAAGUAUUUCGGUAUGUAAAGCUCUAUCAGCAGGGAAGAAAAUGACGGUACCUGACUAAGAAGCCCCGGCUAACUACGUGCCAGCAGCCGCGGUAAUACGUAGGGGGCAAGCGUUAUCCGGAUUUACUGGGUGUAAAGGGAGCGUAGACGGCGAAGCAAGUCUGAAGUGAAAACCCAGGGCUCAACCCUGGGACUGCUUUGGAAACUGUUUUGCUAGAGUGUCGGAGAGGUAAGUGGAAUUCCUAGUGUAGCGGUGAAAUGCGUAG